UUCCGGUUGAUCCUGCCGGAGGUUACUGCUAUCGAGGUUCGACUAAGCCAUGCGAGUCGAAUGUAGCAAUACAUGGCGUACUGCUCAGUAACACGUGGACAACCUACCCUUAGGACGGGGAUAAACCCGGGAAACUGGGUAUAAUACCCGAUAGAUCUCGGCUGCUGGAAUGCAUCGAGAUCUAAAGCUCCGGCGCCUAAGGAUGGGUCUGCGGCCUAUCAGGUAGUAGUGGGUGUAGUGUACCUACUAGCCUACGACGGGUACGGGUUGUGAGAGCAAGAGCCCGGAGAUGGAUUCUGAGACACGAAUCCAGGCCCCACGGGGUGCAGCAGGCGCGAAAACUUUACAAUGCUGGCAACAGCGAUAAGGGGACCUCGAGUGCCAGGUUACAAAUCUGGCUGUCGUGAUGCCUAAAAAGCAUUGCAUAGCAAGGGCCGGGCAAGACCGGUGCCAGCCGCCGCGGUAACACCGGCGGCUCGAGUGGUAACCGUUAUUAUUGGGUCUAAAGGGUCUGUAGCCGGCCGGAUAAGUCUCUUGGGAAAUCCAGCAGCUCAACUGUUGGGCUUUCAGGAGAUACUGUCUGGCUCGAGGCCGGGAGAGGUGAGAGGUACUUCAGGGGUAGGGGUGAAAUCUUGUAAUCCUUGAAGGACCACCAGUGGCGAAGGCGUCUCACCAGAACGGACCUGACGGCAAGGGACGAAAGCUAGGGGCACGAACCGGAUUAGAUACCCGGGUAGUCCUAGCCGUAAACGAUACUCGCUAGGUGUCGGCCACGGUGCGACCGUUGUCGGUGCCGUAGGGAAGCCGUGAAGCGAGCCACCUGGGAAGUACGGCCGCAAGGCUGAAACUUAAAGGAAUUGGCGGGGGAGCACCACAACGGGUGGAGCUUGCGGUUUAAUUGGAUUCAACGCCGGA
Molecule: ribosomal RNA, 915 nt
Filed under: uncultured archaeon
Lineage: Archaea
Description: bacterial SSU rRNA
Rfam family: Archaeal small subunit ribosomal RNA
Source: RNAcentral